GUGGUGUAGGGGUAAAAUCCGUAGAUAUCACCAAGAAUACCCAUUGCGAAGGCGAUCUGCUGGAACUCAACUGACGCUAAGGCGCGAAAGCGUGGGGAGCAAACAGGAUUAGAUACCCUGGUAGUCCACGCCCUAAACGAUGUACACUAGUUGUUGGGGUGCUAGUCAUCUCAGUAAUGCAGCUAACGCAUUAAGUGUACCGCCUGGGGAGUACGGUCGCAAGAUUAAAACUCAAAGGAAUAGACGGGGACCCGCACAAGCGGUGGAGCAUGUGGUUUAAUUCGAAGAUACGCGAAGAACCUUACCUGGGCUUGAUAUCCUAAGAACCUUUUAGAGAUAAGAGGGUGCUAGCUUGCUAGAACUUAGAGACAGGUGCUGCACGGCUGUCGUCAGCUCGUGUCGUGAGAUGUUGGGUUAAGUCCCGCAACGAGCGCAACCCACGUAUUUAGUUGCUAACGGUUCGGCCGAGCACUCUAAAUAGACUGCCUUCGUAAGGAGGAGGAAGGUGUGGACGACGUCAAGUCAUCAUGGCCCUUAUGCCCAGGGCGACACACGUGCUACAAUGGCAUAUACAAUGAGACGCAAUACCGCGAGGUGGAGCAAAUCUAUAAAAUAUGUCCCAGUUCGGAUUGUUCUCUGCAACUCGAGAGCAUGAAGCCGGAAUCGCUAGUAAUCGUAGAUCAGCCAUGCUACGGUGAAUACGUUCCCGGGUCUUGUACUCACCGCCCGUCACACCAUGGGAGUUGAUUUCACUCGAAGCCGGAAUACUAAACUAGUUACCGUCCACAGUGGAAUCAGCGACUGGGGUGAAGUCGUAACAAGGUAACCGUAGGAGAACCUGCGGUUGGAUCACCUCCUUUCUA
Molecule: ribosomal RNA, 863 nt
Filed under: Campylobacter jejuni
Lineage: Bacteria; Pseudomonadati; Campylobacterota; Epsilonproteobacteria; Campylobacterales; Campylobacteraceae
Description: bacterial SSU rRNA
Rfam family: Bacterial small subunit ribosomal RNA
Source: RNAcentral